GAUGAACGCUAGCUACAGGCUUAACACAUGCAAGUCGAGGGGAAACGACAUCGAAAGCUUGCUUUUGAUGGGCGUCGACCGGCGCACGGGUGAGUAACGCGUAUCCAACCUGCCCACCACUUGGGGAUAACCUUGCGAAAGUAAGACUAAUACCCAAUGACGUCUCUAGAAGACAUCUGAAAGAGAUUAAAGAUUUAUCGGUGAUGGAUGGGGAUGCGUCUGAUUAGCUUGUUGGCGGGGUAACGGCCCACCAAGGCGACGAUCAGUAGGGGUUCUGAGAGGAAGGUCCCCCACAUUUGGACUGAGACACGGUCCAAACUCCUACGGGAGGCAGCAGCGAGGAAUAUUGGUCAAUGGGCGAGAGCCUGAACCAGCCAAGUAGCGUGCAGGAUGACGGCCCUAUGGGUUGUAAACUGCUUUUAUAAGGGAAUAAAGUGAGUCUCGUGAGACUUUUUGCAUGUACCUUAUGAAUAAGGACCGGCUAAUUCCGUGCCAGCCGCCGCCGUAA
This 508-nucleotide ribosomal RNA is filed under the name uncultured bacterium. RNAcentral describes it as "partial 16S ribosomal RNA". It matches the Rfam family "Bacterial small subunit ribosomal RNA", at positions 28 to 523 of the family's 1533-position model. The record is from RNAcentral.